This 312-nucleotide ribosomal RNA is filed under the name uncultured bacterium. Its description in RNAcentral is "bacterial SSU rRNA". It matches the Rfam family "Bacterial small subunit ribosomal RNA", at positions 28 to 334 of the family's 1533-position model. The record is from RNAcentral.
GAUGAACGCUAGCGACAGGCUUAACACAUGCAAGUCGAGGGGCAGCGAGAAAGUGCUUGCACUUUUGUCGGCGACCGGCGCACGGGUGAGUAACACGUAUGCAACCUGCCCUUGUCAGGGGGAUAAGCGGGGGAAACCCCGUCUAAUACCGCAUAUAUGAUUUGGAGGCAUCUUUAAAUCAGGAAAGAAUUAUCGGACAAGGAUGGGCAUGCGGGACAUUAGGUAGUUGGGGGUGUAACGGACCACCAAGCCGACGAUGUCUAGGGGUUCUGAGAGGAAGGUCCCCCACACUGGUACUGAGACACGGACCAG